Saimiri boliviensis boliviensis (Bolivian squirrel monkey) is the source of this 477-nucleotide non-coding RNA. The record is from RefSeq and is a predicted model, not a curated record. NCBI's taxonomy places the organism in Eukaryota, Metazoa, Chordata, Mammalia, Primates, Cebidae.
UAGAAGUGUGGUACAUGACUUCUAAAGAAGCCAGACGUGGAACAGUUCUGGGAACACAGUCAGUACUGAUAAAACUCUUACUGAUGAAUUUACCUGUACCUGUGUUUCAGCCUUGUGAUCUGAAAAAUAGUUAGAACGUGACUCUAAGAAAAUAAAGAUGUGGAGUACACGGAGCCUCGCUUCAGAUUCUCUGGACUAAAGAUUUAACACUCAACUAGAGACCAAAGAUCCCAUCAAUCACUACACAUUUUAGACUUCUAAUUGGUAAGAAAUAUUUUGGAUCUUCAAAAUAGAGACAUCUGGCAGUCACCAGCUGAACAAAAUGGUCAAAUUUUGCACUACCAUCAUCAGACAACCUGACAUAUGUGCCUCCUGAGAUGAUAUUCCACAGGAUGUGAGCAUAUGCGGUGGAAACAUUGUGUUAUUCCAUCCUCAGAAGAAAAGGGACAGUAUUAUACUUUAUCUCUUGCUAGUACA